This 1528-nucleotide ribosomal RNA is filed under the name Klebsiella aerogenes. RNAcentral describes it as "bacterial SSU rRNA". It matches the Rfam family "Bacterial small subunit ribosomal RNA". The record is from RNAcentral. Lineage: Bacteria; Pseudomonadati; Pseudomonadota; Gammaproteobacteria; Enterobacterales; Enterobacteriaceae.
AGAGUUUGAUCAUGGCUCAGAUUGAACGCUGGCGGCAGGCCUAACACAUGCAAGUCGAGCGGUAACACAGAGAGCUUGCUCUCGGGUGACGAGCGGCGGACGGGUGAGUAAUGUCUGGGAAACUGCCUGAUGGAGGGGGAUAACUACUGGAAACGGUAGCUAAUACCGCAUAACGUCGCAAGACCAAAGUGGGGGACCUUCGGGCCUCAUGCCAUCAGAUGUGCCCAGAUGGGAUUAGCUAGUAGGUGGGGUAAUGGCUCACCUAGGCGACGAUCCCUAGCUGGUCUGAGAGGAUGACCAGCCACACUGGAACUGAGACACGGUCCAGACUCCUACGGGAGGCAGCAGUGGGGAAUAUUGCACAAUGGGCGCAAGCCUGAUGCAGCCAUGCCGCGUGUAUGAAGAAGGCCUUCGGGUUGUAAAGUACUUUCAGCGAGGAGGAAGGCGUUAAGGUUAAUAACCUUAGCGAUUGACGUUACUCGCAGAAGAAGCACCGGCUAACUCCGUGCCAGCAGCCGCGGUAAUACGGAGGGUGCAAGCGUUAAUCGGAAUUACUGGGCGUAAAGCGCACGCAGGCGGUCUGUCAAGUCGGAUGUGAAAUCCCCGGGCUCAACCUGGGAACUGCAUUCGAAACUGGCAGGCUAGAGUCUUGUAGAGGGGGGUAGAAUUCCAGGUGUAGCGGUGAAAUGCGUAGAGAUCUGGAGGAAUACCGGUGGCGAAGGCGGCCCCCUGGACAAAGACUGACGCUCAGGUGCGAAAGCGUGGGGAGCAAACAGGAUUAGAUACCCUGGUAGUCCACGCCGUAAACGAUGUCGACUUGGAGGUUGUGCCCUUGAGGCGUGGCUUCCGGAGCUAACGCGUUAAGUCGACCGCCUGGGGAGUACGGCCGCAAGGUUAAAACUCAAAUGAAUUGACGGGGGCCCGCACAAGCGGUGGAGCAUGUGGUUUAAUUCGAUGCAACGCGAAGAACCUUACCUACUCUUGACAUCCAGAGAACUUAGCAGAGAUGCUUUGGUGCCUUCGGGAACUCUGAGACAGGUGCUGCAUGGCUGUCGUCAGCUCGUGUUGUGAAAUGUUGGGUUAAGUCCCGCAACGAGCGCAACCCUUAUCCUUUGUUGCCAGCGGUCCGGCCGGGAACUCAAAGGAGACUGCCAGUGAUAAACUGGAGGAAGGUGGGGAUGACGUCAAGUCAUCAUGGCCCUUACGAGUAGGGCUACACACGUGCUACAAUGGCAUAUACAAAGAGAAGCGACCUCGCGAGAGCAAGCGGACCUCAUAAAGUAUGUCGUAGUCCGGAUUGGAGUCUGCAACUCGACUCCAUGAAGUCGGAAUCGCUAGUAAUCGUAGAUCAGAAUGCUACGGUGAAUACGUUCCCGGGCCUUGUACACACCGCCCGUCACACCAUGGGAGUGGGUUGCAAAAGAAGUAGGUAGCUUAACCUUCGGGAGGGCGCUUACCACUUUGUGAUUCAUGACUGGGGUGAAGUCGUAACAAGGUAACCGUAGGGGAACCUGCGGUUGGAUCACCU